UUUACCCUGGGGUGUUUGUGAUUGGGUUUAAGUCCCUGAGCCGAUAAGCAAUACACAAGGGUUAGUAUUUGGUUACUAUUGAGCAAGCUCAGCUCGAACUGAGAAGCCUACGGUAAUCACUGCUGAUCCGCCUUGAACCAGCUGGUUCAAGGGCCACGAUCCUCAACGGCACUCUGGGGUAUCC
Molecule: non-coding RNA, 184 nt
Filed under: Vibrio sp. HB161653
Lineage: Bacteria; Pseudomonadati; Pseudomonadota; Gammaproteobacteria; Vibrionales; Vibrionaceae
Also listed under: 1 other name
Description: 6S RNA
Rfam family: 6S / SsrS RNA
About the family: E. coli 6S RNA was the first non coding RNA to be sequenced, but its function was unknown until recently. It consists of 184 nucleotides that fold into an extended hairpin structure with a large single-stranded internal bulge.
Source: RNAcentral